Molecule: non-coding RNA, 71 nt
Organism: Caenorhabditis brenneri
Lineage: Eukaryota; Metazoa; Nematoda; Chromadorea; Rhabditida; Rhabditidae
Source: the annotation of a GenBank genome assembly
GCGUGCAUGGUGUAGUGGCUACCGCAUGCGGCUGACGAUCUCGCAACGGGGGUUCAACCCCCUCUGGCUCG